CCUACGGGAGGCAGCAGUCGAGAAUCAUUCACAAUGGGGGAAACCCUGAUGGUGCGACGCCGCGUGGGUGAAUGAAGGUCUUCGGAUUGUAAACCCCUGUCAUGUGGGAGCAAAUUCAAAAGAUAGUACCACAAGAGGAAGAGGCGGCUAACUCUGUGCCAGCAGCCGCGGUAAUACAGAGGUGGCAAGCGGUGUUCGGAAUCACUGGGCGUAAAGCGUGCGUAGGCUGUUUCGUAAGUCGUGUGUGAAAUGUGCGGGCUCAACCCGCGGACGGCACAUGAUACUGCGAGACUAGAGUAAAGGAGGGGGAACCGGAAUUCUCGGUGUAGCAGUGAAAUGCGUAGAGAUCGAGAGGAACACUAGUGGCGAAGGCGGGUUCCUGGACAUUAACUGACGCUGAGGCACGAAGGCCAGGGGAGCGAAAGGGAUUAGAUACCCGAGUAGUC
Molecule: ribosomal RNA, 446 nt
Filed under: uncultured bacterium
Lineage: Bacteria
Description: partial 16S ribosomal RNA
Rfam family: Bacterial small subunit ribosomal RNA
Source: RNAcentral